AGUUUGAUCUUGGUUCAGGAUGAACGCUGGCGGCGUGCCUAAUACAUGCAAGUCGAGCGAAUGGAUUAAGAGCUUGCUCUUAUGAAGUUAGCGGCGGACGGGUGAGUAACACGUGGGUAACCUGCCCAUAAGACUGGGAUAACUCCGGGAAACCGGGGCUAAUACCGGAUAACAUUUUGAACUGCAUGGUUCGAAAUUGAAAGGCGGCUUCGGCUGUCACUUAUGGAUGGACCCGCGUCGCAUUAGCUAGUUGGUGAGGUAACGGCUCACCAAGGCAACGAUGCGUAGCCGACCUGAGAGGGUGAUCGGCCACACUGGGACUGAGACACGGCCCAGACUCCUACGGGAGGCAGCAGUAGGGAAUCUUCCGCAAUGGACGAAAGUCUGACGGAGCAACGCCGCGUGAGUGAUGAAGGCUUUCGGGUCGUAAAACUCUGUUGUUAGGGAAGAACAAGUGCUAGUUGAAUAAGCUGGCACCUUGACGGUACCUAACCAGAAAGCCACGGC
RNAcentral lists this ribosomal RNA (507 nucleotides) under Bacillus cereus. Its description in RNAcentral is "bacterial SSU rRNA". It matches the Rfam family "Bacterial small subunit ribosomal RNA", at positions 10 to 497 of the family's 1533-position model. Lineage: Bacteria; Bacillati; Bacillota; Bacilli; Caryophanales; Bacillaceae. The record is from RNAcentral.